AAAGUCCUAAUAAUACAAGAGAUAAGGGAUAAGAGAACAAGACCACAAAUGGAGUUCCUCUCUUGAGAUUAUAUUGAUGAUCCAAGUAGCUCUCAUCCUUUGGAAUAUGCAAGCAACAUAAUAGUUAGCUCAAGCAAUCAACAAUCAAUUUAGCUCUUGGAAAGUUCCUCAAUGGCUCUUAGAUUUCUCUCUCUUAGAAGCUCAUGGCAAUGGUUCCUCACUUAGGCUCAAUUUUGGAAUCCCUAGC
Molecule: long non-coding RNA, 247 nt
Filed under: Lathyrus oleraceus (garden pea)
Lineage: Eukaryota; Viridiplantae; Streptophyta; Magnoliopsida; Fabales; Fabaceae
Description: Pisum sativum (pea) long non-coding RNA (PSAT_LNC038451)
Source: RNAcentral